Molecule: transfer RNA, 128 nt
Filed under: Candidatus Woesearchaeota archaeon
Lineage: Archaea; Nanobdellati; Candidatus Woesearchaeota
Description: tRNA-Leu
Source: RNAcentral
GCGGGGGUGGGAGAGUGGUCAAAUCCGCUAGCUUGAGGGGCUAGUCCCUUAGUGGGUUCGCGUGUUCGAAUAGUGACGCCCGAGGCGGCAAUGCUUCGAACGUCAGUAAGAAUGUCACGUCCCCCGCA